This is a long non-coding RNA of Ornithorhynchus anatinus (platypus), 767 nucleotides long. RefSeq lists it as uncharacterized. The transcript is spliced from 2 exons. The record is from RefSeq and is a predicted model, not a curated record. Lineage: Eukaryota; Metazoa; Chordata; Mammalia; Monotremata; Ornithorhynchidae.
UAUCUUCUAUCUACCAUAGUCCAGUUUUUGAAACAAAGCCCCCUCUGACUCUGACCCAUCUGGAAGCGUUGUUACUUUUACAAGAUUGCUGGAGAGAAGCCUGAGCAAAGACCACUCCACUUGCUGCUAGUGAGCCCGCUUGACCCAGCACAGGCGCUCAAGGGCCACUUUUUUUUUCCUCCAAGCCUUCACUGUAGCCCCCUCCCUUUGGAGCAGCAGGAAAUAUCAUCAUCUCCGGUCUCGAGUUGUCUGGCGCUCAUUGAGGUUCAGUCAGCGGGCCUCCCGCCACGUGAUGUGGAGUCAGCACUCGUUGCUUGGACUUGUUUCUCCAGCUCUCCUAUCUCAGCCUUGCACAAUGCACCGCCAUGAUCUCUUUGGGUUACACAAGCUCAGAAGUCAGAGGGGCCCGCAGUGACGAUCAUUUUUGAGACCACAAGCUGUGGGUUGUGUCAUCACUCGGUUGGGGGACAUGCAGAAAAAUCAAGAUGCUGCAGAAAUCUUCUCCGGGGGCUCUGAGCCUGGAGGCCAUAAACCAAACGGCGGCCUGGUUUCCGAAAUGGACUUAGUGUUCGAGUCGGAAGGAUCCGGAGUGGGGAGAAAUCUGCCACUUAUCGUUCUUAAGCUAUCCUGGAGAUGCAUCUCUCACUAAGCAUCCCUCCUAAAUCCAAACUGAGUGAGUGGCCCAGCUUUUUUGGCAUACCAGUUUGAUCCAGGGACCCUAAGUCUGUCUGCUUCUUCACGCUUCUGAUGAAAAUUCUGGAUUGGUC